GUAUAGCUCAGUGGGUAGAGCAUCUGCUUUGCAUGCAGAAGGUCCCAGGUUCAAUCCCUGGCAUCUCCA
Non-coding RNA from Podarcis lilfordi (Lilford's wall lizard), 69 nucleotides. NCBI's taxonomy places the organism in Eukaryota, Metazoa, Chordata, Lepidosauria, Squamata, Lacertidae. The record is from the annotation of a GenBank genome assembly.